AUCAGAGUGGCGCAGCGGAAGCGUGGUGGGCUCAUAACCCAUAGGUCUCAAGAUCGAAACUUGGCUUUGGAUA
Ipomoea nil (Japanese morning glory) is the source of this 73-nucleotide non-coding RNA. The record is from Rfam. Lineage: Eukaryota; Viridiplantae; Streptophyta; Magnoliopsida; Solanales; Convolvulaceae.